GGGUUGUGAGGUUAAGCGACUAAGCGUACACGGUGGAUGCCCUGGCAGUCAGAGGCGAUGAAGGGCGUGCUAAUCUGCGAUAAGCGCCGGUAAGGUGAUAUGAACCGUUAUAACCGGCGAUACCCGAAUGGGGAAACCCAGUGUGAUUCGUCACACUAUCAUUAACUGAAUCCAUAGGUUAAUGAGGCGAACCGGGGGAACUGAAACAUCUAAGUACCCCGAGGAAAAGAAAUCAACCGAGAUUCCCCCAGUAGCGGCGAGCGAACGGGGAGGAGCCCAGAGCCUGAAUCAGCAUGUGUGUUAGUGGAAGCGUCUGGAAAGGCGCGCGAUACAGGGUGACAGCCCCGUACACAAAAGCGCAUGUGCUGUGAGCUCGAUGAGUAGGGCGGGACACGUGGUAUCCUGUCUGAAUAUGGGGGGACCAUCCUCCAAGGCUAAAUACUCCUGACUGACCGAUAGUGAACCAGUACCGUGAGGGAAAGGCGAAAAGAACCCCGGCGAGGGGAGUGAAAAAGAACCUGAAACCGUGUACGUACAAGCAGUGGGAGCACCCUUUGGGUGUGACUGCGUACCUUUUGUAUAAUGGGUCAGCGACUUAUAUUCUGUAGCAAGGUUAACCGAAUAGGGGAGCCGGAGGGAAACCGAGUCUUAACCGGGCGUUAAGUUGCAGGGUAUAGACCCGAAACCCGGUGAUCUAGCCAUGGGCAGGUUGAAGGUUGGGUAACACUAACUGGAGGACCGAACCGACUAAUGUUGAAAAAUUAGCGGAUGACCUGUGGCUGGGGGUGAAAGGCCAAUCAAACCGGGAGAUAGCUGGUUCUCCCCGAAAGCUAUUUAGGUAGCGCCUCGUGAAUUCAUCUCCGGGGGUAGAGCACUGUUUCGGCUAGGGGGCCAUCCCGGCUUACCAACCCGAUGCAAACUGCGAAUACCGGAGAAUGUUAUCACGGGAGACACACGGCGGGUGCUAACGUCCGUCGUGAAGAGGGAAACAACCCAGACCGCCAGCUAAGGUCCCAAAGUCAUGGUUAAGUGGGAAACGAUGUGGGAAGGCCCAGACAGCCAGGAUGUUGGCUUAGAAGCAGCCAUCAUUUAAAGAAAGCGUAAUAGCUCACUGGUCGAGUCGGCCUGCGCGGAAGAUGUAACGGGGCUAAACCAUGCACCGAAGCUGCGGCAGCGACACUGUGUGUUGUUGGGUAGGGGAGCGUUCUGUAAGCCUGUGAAGGUGUGUCGUGAGGCAUGCUGGAGGUAUCAGAAGUGCGAAUGCUGACAUAAGUAACGAUAAAGCGGGUGAAAAGCCCGCUCGCCGGAAGACCAAGGGUUCCUGUCCAACGUUAAUCGGGGCAGGGUGAGUCGACCCCUAAGGCGAGGCCGAAAGGCGUAGUCGAUGGGAAACGGGUUAAUAUUCCCGUACUUGGUGUUACUGCGAAGGGGGGACGGAGAAGGCUAUGUUGGCCGGGCGACGGUUGUCCCGGUUUAAGCGUGUAGGUGUGUGUUCCAGGUAAAUCCGGUUCACUUUAACACUGAGGCGUGACGACGAGGCACUACGGUGCUGAAGCAACAAAUGCCCUGCUUCCAGGAAAAGCCUCUAAGCAUCAGGUAACAUCAAAUCGUACCCCAAACCGACACAGG
Molecule: ribosomal RNA, 1629 nt
Filed under: Salmonella enterica subsp. enterica serovar Enteritidis
Lineage: Bacteria; Pseudomonadati; Pseudomonadota; Gammaproteobacteria; Enterobacterales; Enterobacteriaceae
Description: partial 23S ribosomal RNA
Rfam family: Bacterial large subunit ribosomal RNA
Source: RNAcentral